CCUACGGGUGGCAGCAGUAGGGAAUAUUGCUCAAUGGGGGAAACCCUGAAGCAGCAACGCCGCGUGGAGGAUGACGGUUUUAUGAUUGUAAACUCCUUUUUUUAGAGAAGAUAAUGACGGUACCUCACGAAUAAUCACCGGCUCACUCCGUGCCAGCCGCCGCGGUAAUACGGAGGGUGCAAGCGUUAUUCGGAAUCACCGGGCGUAAAGAGUGCGCAGGGGGGCUUGUAAGUCAGCUGUGAAAUCCUGUAGCUUAACGACCGAACUGCAUUGGAAACUAUGGGUCUAGAGUGUGGGAGAGGUAGGUGGAAUUCUGGGUGUAGGGGUAAAAUCCGUAGAUAUCAAGAAGAAUACUCAUUGCGAAGGCGACCUACCGGAGCAUAACUGACGCUCAUGCACGAAAGCGUGGGGAGCAAACAGGAUUAGAUACCCUUGUAGUC
This 440-nucleotide ribosomal RNA is filed under the name uncultured bacterium. RNAcentral describes it as "partial 16S ribosomal RNA". It matches the Rfam family "Bacterial small subunit ribosomal RNA", at positions 338 to 795 of the family's 1533-position model. The record is from RNAcentral.